UACGUAGGUGGCAAGCGUUGUCCGGAAUUACUGGGCGUAAAGAGCGCGCAGGCGGCUGGUCAAGUCCGAUGUGAAAGCUUCCGGCUUAACUGGGAAAUUGCAUCGGAAACUGAUCGGCUUGAAGGUGGGAGAGGGUAGUGGAAUUCCCGGUGUAGUGGUGAAAUGCGCAGAUAUCAGGAAGAACACCCGUGGCGAAGGCGGCUCUCUGGUACGGAACUGACGCUGAGACGCGAAAGCGUGGGGAGCGAACAGG
Molecule: ribosomal RNA, 253 nt
Filed under: uncultured bacterium
Lineage: Bacteria
Description: partial 16S ribosomal RNA
Rfam family: Bacterial small subunit ribosomal RNA
Source: RNAcentral